AGCGAACGCUGGCGGCGUGCCUAACACAUGCAAGUCGAACGUGAAAAGGGAAACCUGAGUAAAGUGGCGUACGGGUGAGUAACGCGUAGGUAAUCUACCCCAGAAUCUGGAAUAACCUGCCGAAAGGCGGGCUAAUACUGGAUAGAGCGAGGGAACUCGUAAGAGAGUUUUUCGGGAAAGGGAGCCCGCAAGGGCCUUCGUUCUGGGAUGAGCCUGCGUCUCAUUAGCUAGUUGGUAAGGUAACGGCUUACCAAGGCGAUGAUGAGUAGCUGGUCUGAGAGGAUGAUCAGCCACACUGGAACUGAAACACGGUCAAGACUCCUACGGGAGGCAGCAGUGGGGAAUCUUGCGCAAUGGACGAAAGUCUGACGCAGCCACGCCGCGUGAGUGAAGAAGGCCUUCGGGUUGUAAAGCUCUGUCGGAUGGGACGAACAUCUUCAUAGUGAAUAGCUAUGAGGACUGACGGUACCAUCAAAGGAAGCACCGGCUAACUCCGUG
Molecule: ribosomal RNA, 498 nt
Filed under: uncultured bacterium
Lineage: Bacteria
Description: partial 16S ribosomal RNA
Rfam family: Bacterial small subunit ribosomal RNA
Source: RNAcentral